RNAcentral lists this ribosomal RNA (442 nucleotides) under uncultured bacterium. RNAcentral's name for it is "bacterial SSU rRNA". It matches the Rfam family "Bacterial small subunit ribosomal RNA", at positions 255 to 693 of the family's 1533-position model. The record is from RNAcentral.
AGGUAAAGGCUUACCAAGCCGAAGAUCCUUAGUUGAUUCCUGAGAGGAUGAUCAACCACAAUGGGACUGAGACACGGCCCCAUCCUCCAGCAGGAGGCAGCAGUGGGGAAUAUUGGACAAUGGGCGAAAGCCUGAUCCAGCAAUAUCGCGUGAAUGAUGUUUAAUCAAAAAAAACUUAGGUUCAAAUGACCAUAAAAUUCUUUCAUCAAGGACUAUAAUGACUGUACUUGAAGAAGAAGUCCCGGCCAACCUCGUGCCAGCAGCCGCGGUAAUACGAGGGGGACUAGCGUUAUUCUUCAUGACUGGGCGUAAAGGGUGUGUAGGCUGUCUAUUCCGUUGAAAUUAAAAACCAAAGUUUAACUUUGGAAAAGGUUUUAAAACUAAUAUGACUGGAGUGUCACAGAGGAUAGUGGAAUUUUUAGAGGAGUGAUAGAAUAUAAAG